Molecule: signal recognition particle RNA, 299 nt
Filed under: Aotus nancymaae (Ma's night monkey)
Lineage: Eukaryota; Metazoa; Chordata; Mammalia; Primates; Aotidae
Description: Metazoan signal recognition particle RNA (ENSANAG00000015466.1)
Rfam family: Metazoan signal recognition particle RNA
About the family: The signal recognition particle (SRP) is a universally conserved ribonucleoprotein.
Source: RNAcentral
GCCGGAUGCGGUGGCACGUGCCUGUAGUCCCAGCUACUCAGGAGGUUGAGGUGGGAGGAUCGCUUGAGCCCAGGAGUUCUGGGCUGUAGUGCGCUAUGCCGAUCGGGUGUCCGCACUAAGUUCGGCAUCAAUAUGGUGUCCUCCCGGGAGUCGGGGACCACCAGGUUGCCUAAGGAGGUGUGAACUGGCCCAGGUUGGAAAUGGAGCAGGUCAAAACUCCCAUUCUGAUCGGUAGUGGGAUCAUGCCUGUAAAUAGCCACUGCACUCCAGCCUGGGCAACAUAGGGGGACCCCAUCUCU